UGUGCUUGCCGCGACUGGCGAAAUUGCUUCGUAAUCCGUGACACAUUGUUGCAUUCAGAAUGCAGGUGACAGGCAAGGGGCAACAGGUGGAGCUAACCACCGGGAAGCGGAAUGUCCGAUUCAAAGAUGGUGGUGUCGGGCACCAGUAACCGAUUAACCGUACGCCUGGGUUAGGGUU
RNAcentral lists this non-coding RNA (178 nucleotides) under unclassified sequences. Its description in RNAcentral is "ZTP sequence". It matches the Rfam family "ZMP/ZTP riboswitch aptamer (pfl RNA motif)". Rfam says of the family: Previously known as pfl RNA. ZMP is also known as AICAR. The record is from RNAcentral.